GGGAAAUUUAGUUUUUUGGAAAUUUACUUGCAUAAGUAGGGCGUUUCCAGAUAACUCCUCCUACAGUUUGAAUGCUAGGAGUUUAUCACUCUGCUGGAUGUUUGCACAUAAUUUGAAGGUGUGCAUGUAGUCAGGUUUUUUUCUUUUUUCUUAUUUUUCCUCUUUUGGGAGAAAAAUUGAACUUAUUCCUUUUUGGGGUAUAAAUGAGUGGAAUGCGGGGGCAUUACUUUGUCUAGUUUACAUUUUUCUCUCGUGUUGUGCUGUUACGUAUACACUUCUGUUACAGUCCAAUGUUAGGUUAGAAUGCAUCGCUCACCUAUAGCUACAUGUUAAACUCCGCCACAAGCACUUUCUUUAUAUAUAAAAUUGAGAAUGGAAAUGUGGAAUGUGCCAAAGAGACAACAACCCGACCUUAGAGCAGACAACAGCAGAAG
Molecule: long non-coding RNA, 434 nt
Filed under: Mytilus galloprovincialis (Mediterranean mussel)
Lineage: Eukaryota; Metazoa; Mollusca; Bivalvia; Mytilida; Mytilidae
Source: RNAcentral